Gossypium arboreum is the source of this 1245-nucleotide RNA transcript. RefSeq lists it as uncharacterized. NCBI's taxonomy places the organism in Eukaryota, Viridiplantae, Streptophyta, Magnoliopsida, Malvales, Malvaceae. The record is from RefSeq and is a predicted model, not a curated record. The transcript is spliced from 4 exons.
ACAGACACGUUUUUUUCUCAGCCCUAUCCAGCACACCAGUGCCAGAGCUUAAUAAAUGAAAUUUAAGACUUUACAAGAAUCUAGAAACUUUACUUUAAAAAAAACCUACCCAGAUACAAUUAAAACCUAAACUUACGAAAAACCCAAACGCCAAAUCUGAAAUGAGAAAGAACGAAAACAUAAACGAAAAAAACUGUUCAAAUCUCUAGCAUCCUUCAUCAAUUUCUCUACAACCAUUGUCAAAGCCAUUCAAACAUCCUACUCAUUUUUUGUUCACAAUGGAUAGUGUGUAGAGGUUGAAACUGUCGGAGACCUUUCAUUUCUUAUUUCUCCAACUCAUUUCUCCUUUCUGACAGGGACCAUCUAUCUUUUUCAACUGCCGAUUUUGAUCUUGGAGGUGCCUCUUCAAUCUAGAACCUCGGUAGAUCCCAUCGUUUCCCUUCCUCCGCCAUUAUAUGCGCCACGUGGUUCACUGAUCUACCUGUAAAUUGACAGGUAAAGCUGUCAAACCUCCGAGCCCGUUCUCUUAUUUCUUUUAUAAUUACAGUAAUAUUUGAUUUGUCCUCUUCAAGUGUUUGGAUUUUCUUUAUGACUGUCAAGGAGUCCCCUUCGAUCACCAGAUUUCUAAAUCCCAGUUUUUCAGCCACUACCACCAUUUUUAAACAGGCUCUCACAUCUACCGUGGUUGCAUCGGCCACAUAUGUGUUCGGUAUAUACCCCUGUUUUGUCACCCCCUCCUCACCCUUUCAUCGUGAAUAUCCAUUGCAGCGAGUGGGAUGGACAGAAUUCUGGAAAUUUGCUCCUCUUCAAAAAGCUGUCAUAACACAUCGAUUUUCCUGGCCCCGGGAUUCAAGCUUCAUUCCAGAUGUUGAUCGACUUUCCGUUCCCCACUCUCCAUCCCAUUCCAUGCUCCAACAAUUUCCUUGCACUCCAUAUACUUCUCCAAGUAAAUGAAGGGGAUUCUCUACAAUGACAUUGUAGGCCAAUUGAAAGGGAUGCAGCGUAGCUUGGUAGCGCGUUUGUUUUGGGUACAAAAUGUCACGGGUUCAAAUCCUGUCAUCCCUACCUAUUACUUCUCCUUUGAUUAGUAAUGAGGGAGUCGUUUUAGAUUGAUUAAAAUUAAGCAUACAUAAGUUCGAUAUCAACUUUGGCUCUAAAUCUCAUAAAUCUUUGUUCCCCUUGUAAUUAAUGCAGCAUCAUAUUGUAAAAAUUAUUCUAUAAAAUCACCUAGUUGUCUUGCCAAAA